This 64-nucleotide transfer RNA is filed under the name Anthrenus sp. BMNH 840208. RNAcentral's name for it is "tRNA-Thr". It matches the Rfam family "tRNA". From Rfam's summary of the family: Transfer RNA (tRNA) molecules are approximately 80 nucleotides in length. Their secondary structure includes four short double-helical elements and three loops (D, anti-codon, and T loops). Further hydrogen bonds mediate the characteristic L-shaped molecular structure. tRNAs have two regions of fundamental functional importance: the anti-codon, which is responsible for specific mRNA codon recognition, and the 3' end, to which the tRNAs corresponding amino acid is attached (by aminoacyl-tRNA synthetases). tRNAs cope with the degeneracy of the genetic code in two manners: having more than one tRNA (with a specific anti-codon) for a particular amino acid; and 'wobble' base-pairing, i.e. permitting non-standard base-pairing at the 3rd anti-codon position. Lineage: Eukaryota; Metazoa; Arthropoda; Insecta; Coleoptera; Dermestidae. The record is from RNAcentral.
GUUUUAAUAGUUUAUAAAAAAUAUUGGUCUUGUAAACCAAAGAAAAAAUUAUCCUUUUAAAACU